GUGAGACGGUGAAGAAGACCCCU
Molecule: small nuclear RNA, 23 nt
Filed under: Arabidopsis thaliana (thale cress)
Lineage: Eukaryota; Viridiplantae; Streptophyta; Magnoliopsida; Brassicales; Brassicaceae
Description: snRNA_11007
Source: RNAcentral